RNAcentral lists this ribosomal RNA (253 nucleotides) under uncultured bacterium. RNAcentral describes it as "partial 16S ribosomal RNA". It matches the Rfam family "Bacterial small subunit ribosomal RNA", at positions 524 to 776 of the family's 1533-position model. The record is from RNAcentral.
UACGAAGGGGGCUAGCGUUGCUCGGAAUUACUGGGCGUAAAGCGCACGUAGGCGGCUUUCUAAGUCGGGGGUGAAAUCCUGGAGCUCAACUCCAGAACUGCCUUCGAUACUGGAAAGCUCGAGUCCGGGAGAGGUGAGUGGAACUGCGAGUGUAGAGGUGAAGUUCGUAGAUAUUCGCAAGAACACCAGUGGCGAAGGCGGCUCACUGGCCCGGUACUGACGCUGAGGUGCGAAAGCGUGGGGAGCAAACAGG